ACCUAGGUGGGUUUUGUGGUGGGUGGUGAACGGACAGGUUUGGGCCUGGAUCCCCCACCCGACCCUAGCACCCACAGGUGGGGUUGCCCGCUCUACUGAUACGCCUCCUCUCUCAGCACUGUGGACCUGCUGGACUGGAGCAGCCUCAUCCACAGCAGGACCAAGCUCUCCAAGCACCUGGUGGUCCCCAACGCACAGACAGGACAGCUGGAGCCCCUGCUGUCCCGGUUCACUGAGGAGGAGGAGCUACAGAUGACGAGGAUGCUACAGCGGAUGGAUGUCCUGGCCAAGGUGAGCUGUCCUGCUUGGGCAGAGGGCUGGGGCCUUGGGGACCUGGGACUCGUGCAGAAGAGGGCAUCUGCCUCACUUGAGCAAUAGUUGCUCCCACUCCCCCACCCCCUGCGCCUCUCAGAAAGCCACAGAGAUGGGCGUGCGGCUGAUGGUGGAUGCCGAG
RNAcentral lists this small RNA (454 nucleotides) under Pongo abelii (Sumatran orangutan). Its description in RNAcentral is "retained intron". Lineage: Eukaryota; Metazoa; Chordata; Mammalia; Primates; Hominidae. The record is from RNAcentral.